CAGCAGCCGCGGGAAUACGAAGGGGGCUAGCGUUGUUCGGAUUUACUGGGCGUAAAGGGUGCGUAGGCGGAUUGUUAAGUCAGGGGUGAAAUCCCGAGGCUCAACCUCGGAACUGCCUUUGAUACUGGCGAUCUUGAGUCCGGGAGAGGUGAGUGGAACUGCGAGUGUAGAGGUGAAAUUCGUAGAUAUUCGCAAGAACACCGGUGGCGAAGGCGGCUCACUGGCCCGGAACUGACGCUGAGGCACGAAAGCGUGGGGAGCAAACAGGAUUAGAGACCCGAGUAGUCCCUGUCUCUUAUAC
RNAcentral lists this ribosomal RNA (301 nucleotides) under uncultured bacterium. Its description in RNAcentral is "partial 16S ribosomal RNA". It matches the Rfam family "Bacterial small subunit ribosomal RNA", at positions 509 to 807 of the family's 1533-position model. The record is from RNAcentral.